This 502-nucleotide small RNA is filed under the name Pan troglodytes (chimpanzee). Its description in RNAcentral is "processed transcript". Lineage: Eukaryota; Metazoa; Chordata; Mammalia; Primates; Hominidae. The record is from RNAcentral.
GUGAUGGGGUUAAUUCCCUUUCGUAAGACUCUUACUUGCACCCACCCAGCCCCGCCGUCGCCCCGCCGCGCCGCGCUCCAACCGCCUCCUCCUCCUCAGUAACGCGGGAGAAAAUUCAGAUCCAGUUAACACAAUCAUUUGAGAAAGAAGAGAAGCCCUCAAAAGAUGAAGCAGAAAAAGAAAAGGCCAGUGAUAAGUUGCCCAGAAAAAUGUUAUCAAGAGAUUCCAGUCAAGAAUACACUGAUUCAACUGGCAUAGAUCUACAUGAAUUUUUAGUAAAUACAUUAAAAAACAAUCCCAGGGACAGAAUGAUGCUGCUGAAAUUGGAACAAGAAAUUUUAGAUUUCAUUGGUAAUAAUGAGUCUCCACGUAAAAAAUUCCCCCCAAUGACAUCUUACCAUAGGAUGCUAUUACACAGAGUAGCCGCUUACUUUGGAUUAGACCACAAUGUUGAUCAGAGUGGGAAGUCUGUCAUAGUAAACAAAACUAGCAAUACAAGAAU